Molecule: ribosomal RNA, 468 nt
Filed under: uncultured bacterium
Lineage: Bacteria
Description: partial 16S ribosomal RNA
Rfam family: Bacterial small subunit ribosomal RNA
Source: RNAcentral
GACGAACGCUGGCGGCGUGCUUAAUACAUGCAAGUCGAACGGAGAGGCCCUGCUUUUGUGGGAUGCGCAAGUGGCGAACAGGUGAGUAUCACGUGAGUGACCUGCCCUUGACUUUGGGAUAACUUCAGGGAACUGGGGCUCAUACCGGAUAGGAGCACCUGCUGCAUGGUGGGGGUUUGUAAAAUGCGGCGGUUGGGGAUGGACUCGCGGCCUAUCAGCUUAUUGGUGGGGUAGUGGAUUACCAAGGCUUUGACGGGUAGCCGGCUUGCGAAGGUGACAGGCCACAAUGGGAUUGGGAAACGAGCCGGACGGCUACGUGAGGAAUGGGUGGGGGUUAUUGCAAGAAGGGCGGAAGCCGUGUGGAGCAACGUCGCGUGGUGGAAGUCUGCCUUCGGGGUGUAACGCGCGUGCGCGUGGGACGAAGAGUGAGUGACGGUAAUGGGUAAGGAAGCACCGGCUAACUACGUG